UGGGGAAUAUUGGGCAAUGGGCGCAAGCCUGACCCAGCAACGCCGCGUGAGGGAAGAAGGUUUUCGGAUUGUAAACCUCUGUCGCAGAAGACGAAGGAAGUGACGGUAAUCUGUGAGGAAGCCCCGGCUAACUACGUGCCAGCAGCCGCGGUAAUACGUAGGGGGCGAGCGUUGUCCGGAAUUACUGGGCGUAAAGGGAGCGUAGGCGGUUAAUUAAGUUAGAUGUGAAAUACCCGGGCUUAACUUGGGGGGUGCAUCUAAUACUGGUAAACUAGAGUACAGGAGAGGAAAGCGGAAUUCCUAGUGUAGCGGUGAAAUGCAUAGAUAUUAGGAGGAACAUCGGUGGCGAAGGCGGCUUUCUGGACUGACACUGACGCUGAGGCUCGAAAGCGUGGGGAGCAAACAGG
Molecule: ribosomal RNA, 407 nt
Filed under: uncultured bacterium
Lineage: Bacteria
Also listed under: 2 other names
Description: bacterial SSU rRNA
Rfam family: Bacterial small subunit ribosomal RNA
Source: RNAcentral